GCCCGGUAGCUAAAUGCGGAAGAGAUAAGUGCUGAAAGCAUCUAAGCACGAAACUUGCCCCGAGAUGAGUUCUCCCUGAGACUUUAAGUCUCCUGAAGGAACGUUGAAGACGACGACGUUGAUAGGCCGGGUGUGUAAGCGCAGCGAUGCGUUGAGCUAACCGGUACUAAUGAACCGUGAGGCUUAACCUUACAACGCCGAAG
Molecule: ribosomal RNA, 203 nt
Filed under: Klebsiella pneumoniae
Lineage: Bacteria; Pseudomonadati; Pseudomonadota; Gammaproteobacteria; Enterobacterales; Enterobacteriaceae
Description: partial 23S ribosomal RNA
Rfam family: Bacterial large subunit ribosomal RNA
Source: RNAcentral